UGAGAGGUGGGGGAAGGAUUACCACAGUCAUUUCCCUCAGGAAACUGAGGCUCACAGAGGACGAACCACUUGCCCAAGAUCAAACAACUGACAUGGCAAGACAGAGGCCCUCAGAAGGUCUGAGCCGCACAAGCUCACUCCAUGCGGCUCCCAACCUGAGUCAGGACUGACCUCCAAAUGCAGUGGGUGGGGGAAGCUAAGCCGGGGCUGCUUCCAGUGCACUCCUGCCGGCCUUAGUCUUCUCUCUUUGAAGUCUCUGAAGAAGCAAUGUGAGGACUUGUCCAAAAGCACCUUCGGGGCACCUGAACUGGUUCUCCAGGAUGCUGUGGGAGCCUUUUCCACAGGGCUUUCUGGAGGCUUAGGUGACUCCUUCAGACGGAGACAGCCGUCCUAAAAAUUGGUCACAGACUCUUGGUCUUCUGCCUAGAAGGAUUCAGAGGGAACUAAGAACCACCUCCUACAGGCUGCCAGAGGGGCACCUAAAUGACUACACUAGGUGACAGAGGAUCUAAACUGGUUCCCAGAUCUGCCUACCAUUUGCAUCCCAACAUGUCUAUGCUGAAGUGCUUCCAUCCUUUCCCAAGUCAUAAAAGCAGCCUCCACUCCCAUGCCACUCCUUCGGGACCACGGGAGGAACCCACCUAGCCCCCAAGACCCCAGAAAGAUUCCUUUAUCUCCUCAGGCCCAUCGGCCCACAGGGCAGCAGCCCUUCCCAAGGUCCCAAGGGCCACAGAAGGUGCGCUCUGGUCCUGCUUCCUAAAGCUGUCUGCCUGCUCCUGGCUCCCCGGGAGAUCUUUGAGGAACAGGAAUUGCUGCUCCAGUGCUCGAAUGUGGCUCUACAGCUUACUUCUGACUUUUCUUUGGGAUCCUAGAUGAGGGGAAAACCUUGAGCCAUAGUUUCUGCCCUACUAGGAGUGCGGAUUUGUCCCUGCCUCUAUCAAUCCCCUUGCUCCCAUAUCUUCUCAAGAUUGGUCAGAAGGGACUGGGAAUAUUUUACAACUCCAAAAGCUACAGUGAGCUUUUCUCCUCUGACACAAUCUCCAGUUCUGUCCGUCUAAAUGACCAUCUUCAUGUGGUUAAAAAGGAAAAAAAUACUCAUCUCAUGCUCAACUUUGGUUAUGGGACUUUCUACAUGUACCUAGAAUGAGCCUCAAAACCAGACAUCUUAUUGAUGGACCUGAUUAGAAUUCUUUCCAUGUUGGUAAGAGGGUCCAGAGCUGUUCUGGCUGAGGACCCUCUCCAUGCCAUGAUAAGGCAUCAGGAAGGGCAACAGACACGGGAAAAACCCAACCUCAAUUCCUCUGGAGCUGGGAUGCAUAGAAUGAAAUAGCAGUUAAGUACCUAAGAAAUUCUAAGAGUUCAAAGGCAGGCUUGGACUUACACAUCUGGAGCUAGAAGAGAACAAGUGGUUUGUUGGACUUUGGCAAACCUAAGGUUUCCUAAAAGCCUUUUGCACCAUUUCUUUCCUUUGCCUAAAGGAGGCCAGGAGAUAGUGAGUGGAGGAAGGUAUAUUCAGUUGGAGUUAGCACUAGUUUAUACAAUGAACCAAUGGCCCUCAGAUCCAGUUUGCUGUGCUCCAGAAACUAGAAAUAAUGUUCUAGGAAACAGGAGUUUUUAACAUAGGACACAUGAGAAGAUGGCAUAUUAAAAUGAUUGAAUAUUAUUGUAAUGUAAGAACGAAUAAAAAUGACAUUCAAAGAAA
Long non-coding RNA from Antechinus flavipes (yellow-footed antechinus), 1702 nucleotides. RefSeq lists it as uncharacterized. The transcript is spliced from 2 exons. The record is from RefSeq and is a predicted model, not a curated record. NCBI's taxonomy places the organism in Eukaryota, Metazoa, Chordata, Mammalia, Dasyuromorphia, Dasyuridae.